GACUCCAAUCUCAGCCUCUCCUCCCCUCCGCCACCCACGACCGCGUGCACAGUGCUGCGCACCUCUGCGUAGACGUGCUCUGCAGCGGACACUGGCUCCAUCGGGCUACCUGCGGGUUGACAGGGAGGCGACUUUAAAAGGAAGCCUUGUGCGUGCGUCUGUGCCUGCCCGAGGGCCGUGUGUCGUGAUCAGAGACCCCUCCCUCUCCCCCCACCGUCACCGCCCGGCGAUACUCGACUCGCCAACACGGCUGCAGCACAGGACAUCGUCACCCUUCCUCCCUUCUUCCCACAUACGUCGGCACGAAAGCUCAACUGCUCACGCACCAUCGCCUUCCAUGAGGGCUUCCGCUCGGAUUCGUGCUGCCGUCGCAGCAGCGACACCAUCACCGUCGAAAGCACGCCUCACAACUAACAUUGUCGGCGGCAUGGGCAACCAGCUUUUCCUCGUUGCAAAUCUGUUAGCCACUGCGCACCGGACUGGCAUCCCAGCCUACCUGGAGGCGGCGCCGUUCAGCAGCAGCGCCGAGGGCCCACGUCCCACCUACUGGGACACACUUUUUCGCGACCUCGGUCGUCACGGCGUACAGAUGUGUGCGUCCUCGCCGCCGCUGCCUGUCGUGACGGUGCCCGAGACGCGACCCGUGCGGAAGGUGCAACUCGAUGCGCAGCGGCCCUGCGCCUUCCACAUGAUCGGCUUCUUCCAAAGUGAUGCCUUCUUCGACGACCACCCGAUCAUGUCCUCCGUCAUCCCGCGGGAGCUGUGGGACUCGGCCCGCGAGCACCUGGCCACCUACUACGGCGGCGGGUCGUGCCACACUGUCGCCCUGCACGUGCGGCGUGGCGACUACACACGUUUUACCGACAUCUUCGAGCAGCUCGACGUCGUCGAGUACUACGAUGUGGCAGUGCGGCAGCUGCUUGGUGGCCUGCUCUUGCAGCCGCCUUCGCUGCUGCGGCCGCAGCAGUCAUCGGUGGACUCGGCCCAAGCGCCGACUGCAGGCACACCGCCGCUGCUGCCGCUUCACUUGCUUGUCUUCUGCGACGAGGAGCGCUUUGGGCGCACCGUUGUGGGGUACUUCCGCACCAAGUACAAGGGUGCCGUGAUGGCCAGCCUCGUGUGCGCCGCGACGGAGGCAAGCGCGAUAUGGGCGAGGCCAACCGCGUCGUCGCCGUCAGUGCCGAUAAUGCCGCGUGAUGUACUGGAGUUGCUGAUGAUGUCGCAGUGCAACGACGUCGUGAUGGCAAACUCGACCUUCUCGUGGUGGGGCGCCUACCUGAACCGCGUCUCACUGCGCCGUGUCAUCGCACCGUCCCGGUGGUUCGUGAAGGAUCCGUACCCGGCGUCAAAUCACCUCUACUGCCCUGGAUGGAUACUCAUCUGAUCGAAGUGAACCGAGGGAGGGUGGUGGUGGAGGCACGGAGAGUCGGUGCACGGAUGAGGCAUCUCUCUUUCCUCGUUGCCAUCCUCACGGUACCGCUCGCCAGAUGGGAGAGGCCAGCGGCAGGAUACAACCUGCGCGUUUUGCUUGCUCGUCUCUUGUCUGGGUGUCUCUCAUGGGAGUGGCAUCCAGCCGAGGAUGUGCGUCGUCUUUAUCCUCUUCUGCCCACCGGAAGAGGGAGCUCAGCUGCGUCAUG
This 1637-nucleotide unclassified non-coding RNA is filed under the name Leishmania donovani. RNAcentral describes it as "gene:LdHU3.01.0120(CDS-product:Glycosyl_transfera se_family_11_putative)". The record is from RNAcentral. Lineage: Eukaryota; Euglenozoa; Kinetoplastea; Trypanosomatida; Trypanosomatidae.